This is a small nucleolar RNA of Lethenteron reissneri (Far Eastern brook lamprey), 91 nucleotides long. RefSeq annotates it as small nucleolar SNORD12/SNORD106. The record is from RefSeq and is a predicted model, not a curated record. Lineage: Eukaryota; Metazoa; Chordata; Hyperoartia; Petromyzontiformes; Petromyzontidae.
GGGUCGGAGAGUGAUGAGCAAUUUUCUUUCCCCAUCUGAUCGACGAUGCGGAUGACUCCACUUGUUAAGCCAGUGCGACUGACUCUGACCC